Long non-coding RNA from Eucalyptus grandis, 1178 nucleotides. RefSeq lists it as uncharacterized. The transcript has 3 exons. NCBI's taxonomy places the organism in Eukaryota, Viridiplantae, Streptophyta, Magnoliopsida, Myrtales, Myrtaceae. The record is from RefSeq and is a predicted model, not a curated record.
ACAAAAGGGUGGAUAGAAGCUAAGCUCUUUUCUCCAUGGACUGACGCAAGGGGAUCUGUUCCUCUCUUCCUCUUUGGUCUCCAUCCACGUUUACACAAAAGAAGCAAAAGAAAGGAAGGAAAAGAAAAGAGGUCUGCACGAUUUCAUAAGAAAGCAAAUGGAGAAAAGCUAUCUGGGGCAGUUCACAACAGAAGUAGAAGGAAGAAAGGACAAAAAAAGGGCGUCCGCACGUUUUCAUGAGAAAGGAAAACAGAGAAGAAAAGAAAGCUAAUGGAGAAAAUCUUGAGUUGUGCCGUACAGGUUUUGUGGGGUUUUGCAGCAAAAGACCCACAGACGCCAGCCGCAACCGCGGCCCUCUCGCGGUGCUCCAACCGACACCGCGUUCGCAGCCGUUGAUCGCUAGUCCACGCUGUGCCACUUGCUGCUGUUCUUGCGCGGCCAGACUUGUCCCAGCGACUCCUCCGGCUACCUCUGCAGAACAAAGUGAGGACGCUGAUAAUUGUCGUUUUGGACUCUUGAGUGUUAUGGAAGAACAUCACGAACGCCAACUCCUUGGGCCUUGCCUUUAGACCAUCAACACAUCCCGCCAUCUCUCAAGCCUUGUUUACCAAUGAAACGCGAAGAGAUACUUCCUUUUCAGCACUCUUCUCGAUGGACAUCUGGACUUCGGCGCCUUUUUGAUUUCGUGGUUUUCCAUUGUUUGAAGUGGAAUUCCACUCAUCGUACUUACGGAUGAAGGAUUAUCUGUGAGUUAAGCUUGCUUGGAAAAAAGCAAGGAUAGAGACAACACUUGAGCUUUGAACGAUUAUCAAGAGUUCUGGAUUUGGACGUCGCGAAACAACCGCCUCGACAAGUCCUUCCUUUUCUCCGUUGACUCCAAUGAAGCAUCAGCAUCCGCGAUUCUGGCGUCAGCCCAACGAGCCAGGCCCGACGAGCCCGCGACCAUAGAGAGCCGUCCACCAGGGUCACGCCAUCCCUCCUGCUGCUGCUGCUGACGCCCCGCCCGCAUCAGCAACCCUCUAGGCUGGAACCUCAUGCUGCCAAGCUGCCCCUACGGCCGUGACUCGCCUUCGCCGCCGCUCUUCACCGUAGCAAUAGUUCGAGCAAAUCCCGGUGAAGUGAUCAGCAUGCUUCAGCCACCGACCAGCAGCAACUCUAGCAGUCCCGACGCCGGAACA